This is a long non-coding RNA of Cornus florida, 743 nucleotides long. RefSeq lists it as uncharacterized. The transcript has 2 exons. The record is from RefSeq and is a predicted model, not a curated record. Lineage: Eukaryota; Viridiplantae; Streptophyta; Magnoliopsida; Cornales; Cornaceae.
UUAUUUAUUUUUUUUUGGAAAAGGUAAACGACAAAGCUAUUGCUAUUACAAAAGUUAGAAAAUAGACACCCUUUAGUAGCUAUGUUCCAAAUCCCAUGAUGAUGGUUGAAGGCUGUGGGUAGAACGCAACGUCCAACAAGAACCACACCGAAACAACUCCUCCACUGAAAAGACAGGAGGCCACUACACCUGACGGCUCUGUUAACUCAAAGAAACCCAUUGUAAUCCAUGACAAAGCUUCUGAACUUGGGAAUUCAAGCAGCCAAGGUACAAAUAUUGAUGAGAAUAAGGCGAUGAGGCACAAAUCAUUGUUUAAGUGGCCUACAACAAAUCAAAUUCAGAGUGAGUUUAAGAAUAAUAUAGAGGAAAGUGUUUGGGACCGCCUAACGGAACUCACCAAGGAUGAUUUAAGCAUAGAACAUGGCUUAGAGAUGGUUGAUUCAGUGUAUCUCCUAAAUCUAUUCAAUACUUCAGAUCCUGAGUUUGAAAGUUUUAUCCAGACUGCUGGUGCUGGAGAAAAGCGGAUGCGUGGAGGUUUGAAGCUGGUUGAAGAAGGGUAUCACAUGAUCAAAUCUGCGGUAUCACUAAAGCGGGGCAGCUGGGUUAAACCUGAGUGAUCAAUUCUAGAUUUCCUCAAUCUAACAAUUGUACCCAGCUUCCAAUUUAUAUUUAAUGUGGUAUUGUUUCUGAAGGUGUUUAACAAAUUAAAUAAGUACUACUGGAAAUAUUAUUGCACGGCGAAA